This 503-nucleotide ribosomal RNA is filed under the name uncultured bacterium. RNAcentral's name for it is "bacterial LSU rRNA". It matches the Rfam family "Bacterial large subunit ribosomal RNA", at positions 773 to 1283 of the family's 2925-position model. The record is from RNAcentral.
ACCGAACCCACAUCCGUUGAAAAGGGUGGGGAUGAGGUGUGGAUAGCGGAGAAAUUCCAAUCGAACCCGGAGAUAGCUGGUUCUCCUCGAAAUAGCUUUAGGGCUAGCCUCAUGAGAGUCUUAUGGAGGUAGAGCACUGAAUUGCCUAGGGGGCGUCAAAGCUUACCAAAGCAUAUCAAACUCCGAAUGCCAUCAAGAUGAUUCAUGGGAGUCAGACCAUACGAGAUAAGUUGGAUGGUCAAAAGGGAAAGAGCCCAGACCUACAGCUAAGGUCCCAAAGUGCGUGUUAAGUGGAAAAGGAUGUGGGGAUUCUAAGACAACUAGGACGUUGGCUUAGAAGCAGCCAUUCAUUGAAAGAGUGCGUAAUAGCUCACUAGUCGAGAGUCCCUGCGCCGAAAAUGUCCGGGCUGAAACACGACACCGAAGCUUAGGAAUGUGUAAACAUUGGUAGAGGAGCAUUGCUAGCGGGAUGAAGCCAUACCGUAAGGAGUGGUGGACUGCUA